Molecule: ribosomal RNA, 800 nt
Filed under: Acinetobacter junii
Lineage: Bacteria; Pseudomonadati; Pseudomonadota; Gammaproteobacteria; Moraxellales; Moraxellaceae
Description: bacterial SSU rRNA
Rfam family: Bacterial small subunit ribosomal RNA
Source: RNAcentral
UUAGGAAUCUGCCUAUUAGUGGGGGACAACAUUCCGAAAGGAAUGCUAAUACCGCAUACGUCCUACGGGAGAAAGCAGGGGAUCUUCGGACCUUGCGCUAAUAGAUGAGCCUAAGUCGGAUUAGCUAGUUGGUGGGGUAAAGGCCUACCAAGGCGACGAUCUGUAGCGGGUCUGAGAGGAUGAUCCGCCACACUGGGACUGAGACACGGCCCAGACUCCUACGGGAGGCAGCAGUGGGGAAUAUUGGACAAUGGGGGGAACCCUGAUCCAGCCAUGCCGCGUGUGUGAAGAAGGCCUUAUGGUUGUAAAGCACUUUAAGCGAGGAGGAGGCUACUGAGACUAAUACUCUUGGAUAGUGGACGUUACUCGCAGAAUAAGCACCGGCUAACUCUGUGCCAGCAGCCGCGGUAAUACAGAGGGUGCGAGCGUUAAUCGGAUUUACUGGGCGUAAAGCGUGCGUAGGCGGCUUUUUAAGUCGGAUGUGAAAUCCCCGAGCUUAACUUGGGAAUUGCAUUCGAUACUGGGAAGCUAGAGUAUGGGAGAGGAUGGUAGAAUUCCAGGUGUAGCGGUGAAAUGCGUAGAGAUCUGGAGGAAUACCGAUGGCGAAGGCAGCCAUCUGGCCUAAUACUGACGCUGAGGUACGAAAGCAUGGGGAGCAAACAGGAUUAGAUACCCUGGUAGUCCAUGCCGUAAACGAUGUCUACUAGCCGUUGGGGCCUUUGAGGCUUUAGUGGCGCAGCUAACGCGAUAAGUAGACCGCCUGGGGGAGUACGGUCGCAAGACUAAAACUCAAAUGAAUU